Molecule: ribosomal RNA, 464 nt
Filed under: Vreelandella stevensii
Lineage: Bacteria; Pseudomonadati; Pseudomonadota; Gammaproteobacteria; Oceanospirillales; Halomonadaceae
Description: partial 16S ribosomal RNA
Rfam family: Bacterial small subunit ribosomal RNA
Source: RNAcentral
CCUAGGGCGGCUGCAGUGGGGAAUAUUGGACAAUGGGCGAAAGCCUGAUCCAGCCAUGCCGCGUGUGUGAAGAAGGCCUUCGGGUUGUAAAGCACUUUCAGUGGGGAAGAAAGCCUUGGGGCUAAUACCCUCGAGGAAGGACAUCACCCACAGAAGAAGCACCGGCUAACUCCGUGCCAGCAGCCGCGGUAAUACGGAGGGUGCGAGCGUUAAUCGGAAUUACUGGGCGUAAAGCGCGCGUAGGCGGUCUGAUAAGCCGGUUGUGAAAGCCCCGGGCUCAACCUGGGAACGGCAUCCGGAACUGUCAGGCUAGAGUGCAGGAGAGGAAGGUAGAAUUCCCGGUGUAGCGGUGAAAUGCGUAGAGAUCGGGAGGAAUACCAGUGGCGAAGGCGGCCUUCUGGACUGACACUGACGCUGAGGUGCGAAAGCGUGGGUAGCAAACAGGAUUAGAUACCCGUGUAGUC